GAUGAACGCUGGCGGCGUGCCUAAUACAUGCAAGUCGAGCGAACGGACGAGAAGCUUGCUUCUCUGAUGUUAGCGGCGGACGGGUGAGUAACACGUGGAUAACCUACCUAUAAGACUGGGAUAACUUCGGGAAACCGGAGCUAAUACCGGAUAAUAUUUUGAACCGCAUGGUUCAAAAGUGAAAGACGGUCUUGCUGUCACUUAUAGAUGGAUCCGCGCUGCAUUAGCUAGUUGGUAAGGUAACGGCUUACCAAGGCAACGAUGCAUAGCCGACCUGAGAGGGUGAUCGGCCACACUGGAACUGAGACACGGUCCAGACUCCUACGGGAGGCAGCAGUAGGGAAUCUUCCGCAAUGGGCGAAAGCCUGACGGAGCAACGCCGCGUGAGUGGUGAAGGUCUUCGGAUCGUAAAACUCUGUUAUUAGGGAAGAACAUAUGUGUAAGUGACUGUGCACAUCUUGACGGUACCUAAUCAGAAAGCCACGGCUAACUACGUG
RNAcentral lists this ribosomal RNA (497 nucleotides) under uncultured bacterium. RNAcentral describes it as "partial 16S ribosomal RNA". It matches the Rfam family "Bacterial small subunit ribosomal RNA", at positions 28 to 507 of the family's 1533-position model. The record is from RNAcentral.